CAAAAACAUUUUAGAUUCCCAUACAUUAGUUUUCAAGCACAAAAUUAAAUGUUACAGAAUUUUUUUUGUAUGUCAUUCAAGAAAGUAGCAUAUUAUGUAAGAGACAAUGAAGGUUUUUUGCUGGGUUUUGCUGCAAAAAUAAGAAGCAAGUGCAACAGUCAAAGUCUCCAGAAGAAAAGUGGCUGGUUCUGCAAUAUGCUCAAUAAAUCUUACAGCUAAUUUCCUUAUAAAACUGCACAACUUGUACUGGAGACUACAAUUUUUAUUUUUAACACCAAAUAUUGACUUUGAUUCAUUUACUACUGGUUACUGCUCUUUAUAGUAUUUUUUUAAAUGUAGAAACAUUUCAUUUCAUUAUUUUGAUUUCAUUGUUGCUCUACAACAUUUCUUUGCAUGUACCUAAGACUUUUGCACAUGUGUGUGUGUGUGUGUGUGUGUGCGGGGUCUGUCCUGUCUGAAUGGUCGAUUCUGAUUGGCUGGAAGGUUUGUGGUCAAACUGUAUAAUGCACAGGUAUUUCCAGUCAGUUUGAUCACAAUUCUACAUACAACUGUAAUCAUAGUAACAUAAGUUAGAUUCACAGCUUUAUUAUUAGAAUAAACAUGGCAAAGAUGCAGGUAAUUCUCUCUCACACACACACACAAUCUCUCUCUCUCUCUCUAAUAACUAUUUAUUAUAAUUCAUCCAAACAAAUGUAACCUUAUUGCACUAUUUUAUCUCUGUGUAUGAUUUAGAGUGGCAGAAUUCUAGAUCUAGUAACAUGUAAAUAAAAUAACUAACAAAGAUUAACGGUUAUUUUUAUCCUUUCAGUCAAAUUUCGCAUUUUAAACAUCAAUGACAGAUUUAACUUGUCAAUGCUGGCAAGUGACCAUAGUAUUACUGUGGAUUAUUGCUUACAAUGUGUGUGUGUGUGUGUGUGUGUGUGUGUGUGUGUGUGUGUGUGUGUGCGCGUGUGUGCAUUCGCAUGCAGUACACAUACAGGUUUAAUGUCCUCCUUAUUAUACCAGUCUGUCUCUGGUGCUUGUGGAGGUAUACUGCAGUGACCAGCAGGCCAUCAAGCCUGUUACCGGGAGUAUGGCUGCUGAUAUUACUGCUGCAAAUCAAGUGAGCUGCAUUGCUGAUGCCAGCAGAUUUCAUUGGCUGUGCCAAGCUAAGAGAGAGCACAGGGAGGCCAUCCAAGGUUCCUG
This is a long non-coding RNA of Ictalurus punctatus (channel catfish), 1185 nucleotides long. NCBI's taxonomy places the organism in Eukaryota, Metazoa, Chordata, Actinopteri, Siluriformes, Ictaluridae. The record is from Ensembl.